Non-coding RNA from Coprobacillus sp. CAG:183, 168 nucleotides. NCBI's taxonomy places the organism in Bacteria, Bacillati, Bacillota, Erysipelotrichia, Erysipelotrichales, Coprobacillaceae. The record is from Rfam.
AUAAUUGGUAGAGGUGCAAUGAUCAAUAGUAGCAAAAUGUAAUGUUUGGUGACAGCAUUUGCGAAAGGGUGAUUUGCCGAAGGAAAUAGUAACACCAAUUACUAUUUACCUGGGGGAUUAUAGAAGAUAUAAUUUCCUGUCACAUUCAUGUGGAGCGCUAUCUUAGUA